This 565-nucleotide long non-coding RNA is filed under the name Androctonus crassicauda. The record is from RNAcentral. Lineage: Eukaryota; Metazoa; Arthropoda; Arachnida; Scorpiones; Buthidae.
CUCUGGGCUAUCGGGCUAUUUUCGUUGACCGGAAGUCGCAUACUUCGUCUGUUACGAUCGCUAGGGAAACCGAAUGCAGGAGAAAAGAUGCGGUUUUAGCCCUGGGGGACAAGCUUCGCUGUUAGCAUGGAAAACAUAACAGGGCCACAUUUCGAUGGGGUUUAAGCUGGCCGCCGAUAUUAUCGGCGAUGUCGCGGCAUACCUGGUCUAAUACUGGUAAAAUGUCAUUUGUAAGAUUGAAUUUCCUCUUAUUUAUCCCAUCGGCAUUUAAACGGACCAUUAUUAAGAAUAAACUCCCUGUGUUGUUCGGUCGGGCCAUUUCAGUAUACCGCUUAUAUGAAAUAUGCCUAUACGCGAUUACAUACAUGUAUUAUUACACAGCGUUGCAACCGAGGCAGCAGUCCGUUUUCCUUUAUUUCCUAUGUGUUAUUCUCCGGCAUGUACUGACUUUCGAGGUAUAAUAAACUCUAAAUAAACAGACGAUUGUUCUAUUAGGCACAAAAACUUUAUUCUUUCUGUGAAGAGGUUGACUCUGACCUGUCCUAUUUUUUAUUUUAUUAUGCUC